AAGUUUAUUUCUUAAAAUUUCAGAAUAGGUAUUGACAUAAUCACUACACUGGGGAAAAGGUAAUCAAAACGUUGUUGGCUUUAUUCCAUAACCUAGUAUGUUUUCGGUUUUGGUGCAAUCCUAGCCCACUGCAGCCUCCAACUCCUGGGCUCAAGCAAUCUGCCUGCUUCAGUCUUCCUAGUAGUUGGGACUACAGGUAUGCACAACAGCUCCAGGCCAACCUUUUUUAUUUUGAAUGCCGCAUAGCAGGAGAUUCCACAAUUUUUCUUUUCUUUCUUUCUCUCUCUCUCCUUCCUUCCUUCCUCUUUCUCUCUGUCUCUUUCUUGACAGAGUCUCGCUCUGUCACCUAGACUGGAAUGCGUGGCAUGAUCUUGGCUAACUGCAACCUUCGCCUCCCAGGUUCAAGUGAUUCCCUUGCUUAGCCUCCCAAGUAGCUGGGACUGCAGGUGCCUGCCACCACGCCUGGCUAAUUUGUGCAUUUUUAGUAGAAACGGGCUUUCACCAUGUUGGCCAGGCUGGUCUCAAACACCUGACCUCAAGUGAUCUGCCCAUCUUGGCCUCCUAAAGUGCUGGGAUUGCAGGCAUGAGCCACUGCAAGAAGUGUGAGCCACUGCGACAGGCCUCUUUCUCUUUUUGAGACAGUCUUGCUCUUUUACCCAGACUGGAGUACAGUGAUGCAAUCUUGGCUCACUACAACCUCCACCUCCCAGGUUCAAGUGAUUCUCGUGCCACAGCCACCGAAAUAGCUGGGAUUACAGGCGCCCGCCAUCACAUCUGGCUAGUUUUUUGUAUUUUAAGCAGAGACGGCGUUUCACUAUGUUGGCCAGGCUGGUCUCAAACUCUUGACCUCAAGUGAUCCACCCAUCUCAGCCUCCCAAAGUGCUAGGAUUACAGGCCUGAGCCACCGUGCCUGGCCAAGAGGCUCCAUGAUUUUCUAGUGCUGUACCUCUAAAGAUCCUUUUUGUUUUUUUUUAAACGGGGGACCUAAUACUUGCCAAGCCCUGUGUGUUAUUUGGAGAUCCAGAAAUGAACACCACCCAGGAACUUAAAAAACAAGAGAGGGAGGCAGAAGUAAAGAGGCCCAGGACAGGUCUCUCAAGGGGCACUGUCAUGUAUGAGUCUGCUUAGGCUGCCAUAACAAAAUACCACAGGCUAGGUGGCUUCAAGAGAAAUAUAUUUGCUGGAAGGCUGGAAGUCCAAGAUCAUGGUGCCAUCAGGGUUGGUUUCUGGUGAGGGCUCUCUUCCUAGCUUGCAGACAACUGCCUUCUCAAUGUGUCUUCACAUGGCCUUUCUUCCGUGCAUGAGUGAAGAGAAAGCUCUCUGGCAUCUCCCUUUUCUUAUAAGGGCACUAAUCCUAUCUGAUUAGGGCCCCACCCUUAUGACUGCAUGUAAACAUAAUGACCUCCCCAAAACCCCUACCUCCAAAUACCACCACACUGGGGGUUAGAGAGACAAUUCAGUCCAUAGCAGGCAGUCUAGGAAGAUUCUCACUCUCACAUGUUGUGUUGCAUUCCAGGCACCUGGCCAAGAGAAUACAGGUGGGCUCCCCAGGGUGCUGCAUCAUCACCAAGAUGCCUAUCUUGAGGGAAGAGGGUGAGUGAAGCCCAGGCCUUGGGCAGCCAGGGAGAGUGAAGGGGAGUGGGGAAACCUGGGCCUUCCAGGAUGCAGGGGGCUGGACUGAGCGUGCUGUAAACGGGACAGGAGCCUGGAAUCAGCUGGAGAACAUCUGCCCUCCAGCCCCUGACCCUAAGCAGUAAGAGGAGGAUCUUUCUUACUGGAAGCCCCUUCCUGCAACUCUGCCCAUGUGGGCAGAAUCCUGGGGUUUCACCUGAGCCUUCUGUUUGGGUGUUCUCGGGAUCCCGCUGUGUAUCCAAGGAAGGUUCUGGGGUGCGGACGCCCAGCCUUCCUUGUUCCCCUCCCAGAUGAGAUUGAGCCACGCCCAGUGUUUGAGAAGAAGCCCCUGGUAUGGGAGGAGGAUAUGGAGCUCUAUUCGAAGUUCCUGGACCGGAAGGAGGAGCUCCGGCUCGGCCACGCCAGCUAUCUGCGGCAGCACCCCGAAGCCCACGCGCUCAUCUCCGACUUCCUGCUCUUUCUGCUGCUGCGCCAGCCGGAGGACGUGGUCACCUUCGCUGCCGAGUUCUUCGGCCCCUUCGACCCGUGGCGUCCGUCGUCACCGGCCUUGGGCUCCUCCCACCGGCCCAACCCUUUCCGCUCCCUGGAGCCGGAGGGAGACGCCCGCUCGGGGGCGGCCUAAGCGGGGCCCAGGCCGGGACAGGGCAGGAAACCAGGGGUAGGGCUGGGACGCGGGUGGGACGCGGGUGGGACGCGCCGGGGCGGGUGCGCUUUCCGGGCUGCGGUUUUGGGGGAAUAAAAGGGGCCCUCCCGCGGCUCUGC
This 2394-nucleotide small RNA is filed under the name Pongo abelii (Sumatran orangutan). RNAcentral's name for it is "retained intron". Lineage: Eukaryota; Metazoa; Chordata; Mammalia; Primates; Hominidae. The record is from RNAcentral.